This 275-nucleotide ribosomal RNA is filed under the name uncultured prokaryote. RNAcentral's name for it is "partial 16S ribosomal RNA". It matches the Rfam family "Bacterial small subunit ribosomal RNA", at positions 524 to 798 of the family's 1533-position model. The record is from RNAcentral.
UACGUAGGGGGCAAGCGUUAUCCGGAAUUACUGGGCGUAAAGGGUGCGUAGGUGGUUUCUUAAGUCUGAUGUGAAAGCCCACGGCUUAACCGUGGAGGGUCAUUGGAAACUGGUCGACUUGAGUGCAGAAGAGGGAAGUGGAAUUCCAUGUGUAGCGGUGAAAUGCGUAGAGAUAUGGAGGAACACCAGUGGCGAAGGCGGCUUCCUGGUCUGUAACUGACGCUGAGGCACGAAAGCGUGGGGAGCAAACAGGAUUAGAUACCCUGGUAGUCCCU